UAAAAUUAUGAAAGCAUUAAAUGGAUACCUAAACAUUAAAAUUAAAAAUGGACGUAUUUAUACGAAAUUCUGUGACGAGUAAGAAAAAAUCUGCUGAGAUUUACAGAGAUCCAUUUGUCGAAAACGAACUUUUUAUUGAUUAAAGGUUUUUUACUUUUUGAGAAUAAAAGUAAAAUUUUAAAUUUAGAGAAUUGAAUCAUCUUAGUAACUAAAGAAAAAAUCAACCGAGAAUCCGUAAGUAGUGGCGAGCGAACAUGGAAAAGACUAAAAAUUUUUUAUACAUUUUUGUUUAAUAAAAAUUUAGCCAAAGAAGGGAAGUUUAUAAUUCAAAAUUAGCCCUGUAAAACAAAAUUUAAAAUUUUUGAAAUUGUAGAACGAUCCAAGUCAUGGUUUGUUUGAAUUGUGGGGGACCAUCCUCAAAGUCUUAAAAUUUUGAUGCUUGAUAGCGAAAACAGUACCGUGAGGGAAAGGUAAAAAAGAAUUUGGGAAUUCGAAAAGUCUUGAAAUUUAAUGCUAACAAUCAGUUGAAGCUUUUUAAAGUGACAGCGUACCUUUUGCAUAAGGGAUCAACAAGUUUAUUUUGGUGGCGAGCUUAAAAAUAAAUAUUAUGUAGGCGAAAAGAAAUUAAGUUUAAAAAUGCUUUUUAGUCUCUAAAAUAAGACCCGAAACCGAGUGAUCUAACCAUGAACAGGUUGAAAUUUAAGCGGUAACGCUUAUUGGAGGACCGAACUCGUGUAUGUGGCAAAAUACUGAGAUGAUUUGUGGUUAGGGGUGAAAGGCCAAUCAAACUCGGAGAUAGCUGGUUUUCUGCGAAAUCUAUUUAAGUAGAGCGUUUAAAGCACUUUAUUUUAAGGUAGAGCUCUCAUUAAAUAAUGGGGAUAAAACAAUCUUACUGAAUUUAUUGAAACUUCGAAUAUAGAAUAAAAGACUUUAAGCAGACAGACUAUGAGUUCUAAGAUUCAUGGUCAAGAGGGAAACAGCCCAGAUUAUUAGUUAAGGUCCUUAAAAACAAUUAAGUGAAAAAAUUUUAAAAAAAUUAAAACAACCGAUAGGUAGGCUUGGAGGCAGCCAUUCUUUAAAGAAAGCGUAAUAGCUCAUUGGUUUAAUUUUUUUGAGAUGUAAAUGUAAAAGGACUAAAAUUGUUUACCGAAACUAUAGAUUUAAAUUUAAUAUUUAAAAUGGUAGCAGAACGUUCUGUAAAUUUUAGAAAGUUUAUGAAAACAUAAACUGGAGAAAUCAGAAGUGAAAAUGUUGAUAUGAGUAACAAAAACGUUGUGAAAAACAAUGUCGCCUUAAAUUUAAGGUUUUCAAAGAAAGGUUAAUCCUCUUUGAUAAAAUUAAUCGGUCUCUAAGAAAAUAAACGAAAGUUUUAUUUGAUGAGUAAAAUUAAAUUUUUUUUAAUGUUUAAAGUGACAAAAUAUGAAUAUUAUUUUUAUUUAAUGGUUACAAUAAAAGUUUUAUAGUAUUUUCAGGAAAUAGCUUUAAAAAUUUUUAUAAUACCGUACCCUAAACCGACACAGGUAAAUACGUAUAGUAAACUAAGGCGUUGAGAUAAUUGUAUUGAAGGAACUCGGCAAAAUGACUCCGUAACUUCGGAAUAAGGAGUAGCUUUAUUGGGGCAACCUUUUAAAGCUGGCACAAAAUCGGAGACAGCGACUGUUUAAUAAAAAAACUCACAGGUCUCUGCAAAUUCGUAAGAAGAAGUAUAGAGACUGACGCCUGCCCAGUGCUGUAAGAUUAAUGGAAAAAGUUCUGGCUUUAACCUUAAAUCCCAGUAAACGGCGGCUGUAACUCUGACGGUUCCAAAGGUAGCGAAAUUCCUUGGCAUUUAAUUGGUGUCCUGCACGAAUGGCGUAACGACUGUCUUACUGUCUCCAAUACAAUCUCAGUGAAAUUGAAUUCUCCGUGAAGAUGCGGAGUACCUACGGCUAGACGGAAAGACCCCGUGCACCUUUUACUAUAGUUAUGUAUUGUAAUAAAAAUUUUUUUGUGUAGAAUAAGUGGGAAGUUAUUUAAAAUGUUUACGCAAGUAAAUUAUUUAAACAACAAUGAAAUACCACUCUUAAGAUUUUUUAUUACUUAACUGAUUAAGACAGUGCAUAAUGGGUAGUUUGACUGGGGCGGUCACCUCCUAAAGAGUAACGGAGGUGCACUAUGGUAAGUUCAAAUUGGAAAAAUAUCAAUUUAAGAGCGUAAUAGUAUAUGCUUGCUUGACUGUAAGAUUUACAAAUCAAAUAGGGACGAAAGUCGGUUAUAGUGAUCCGGUGAUUCUGUGUGGAAAAGGUCACCGCUCAACGAAUAAAAGGUACGCCGGGGAUUAACAGGCUAAUCACUCCCUAGAGACCCUAUCGACGGAGUGGUUUGGCACCUCGAUGUUGGAUUAUCGCAUCCUGGAGCUGUAAGUGGUUCCAAGGGUUUGGCUGUUCGCCAAGGAAGGCGGUACAUGAUCUGAGUUUAGAACGUCGUGAGACAGUUUGGAUCCUAUCUACCGUAGGCAAGAAAUUUGAGAGGAGUAGACCCUAGUACGAGAGGACCGGGAAAAAUAAAUCUCUGGUGAAUCGGUUGUUUUACCAAUGGCAUAGCCGAGUAGCUAUAUUUAUAAUAGAUAAUCGCUGAAAGCAUUUAAGUGAGAAACUAGCCUCGAGAUUAGAUUUUUAUAAUUGUAAUAGAUGAUUACAUAGAUAGGCUUGAUGUAUAAGAAUUGUAAGAUUUUUAGCUGACAAGUACUAAAAAAUUUUAGAAAUAAAUUAACAACUUUAUA
Molecule: ribosomal RNA, 2761 nt
Filed under: Psammoneis japonica
Lineage: Eukaryota; Bacillariophyta; Plagiogrammaphyceae; Plagiogrammales; Plagiogrammaceae
Description: 23S ribosomal RNA
Rfam family: Bacterial large subunit ribosomal RNA
Source: RNAcentral